This 253-nucleotide ribosomal RNA is filed under the name uncultured bacterium. RNAcentral's name for it is "partial 16S ribosomal RNA". It matches the Rfam family "Bacterial small subunit ribosomal RNA", at positions 524 to 776 of the family's 1533-position model. The record is from RNAcentral.
UACGGGGGGGGCAAGCGUUGUUCGGAAUUACUGGGCGUAAAGGGCUCGUAGGCGGCCAACUAAGUCAGACGUGAAAUCCCUCGGCUUAACCGGGGAACUGCGUCUGAUACUGGAUGGCUUGAGUGUGGGAGAGGGAUGCGGAAUUCCAGGUGUAGCGGUGAAAUGCGUAGAUAUCUGGAGGAACACCGGUGGCGAAGGCGGCAUCCUGGACCAUUACUGACACUGAAAAGCGAAAGCCAGGGGAGCAAACGGG